AUUGAACGCUGGCGGCAGGCUUAACACAUGCAAGUCGAGCGGGGAAGGUAGCUUGCUACCGGACCUAGCGGCGGACGGGUGAGUAAUGCUUAGGAAUCUGCCUAUUAGUGGGGGACAACAUCUCGAAAGGGAUGCUAAUACCGCAUACGUCCUACGGGAGAAAGCAGGGGAUCUUCGGACCUUGCGCUAAUAGAUGAGCCUAAGUCAGAUUAGCUAGUUGGUGGGGUAAAGGCCUACCAAGGCGACGAUCUGUAGCGGGGCUGGGAGGAUGAUCCGCCGCACUGGGACUGAGACACGGCCCAGACUCCUACGGGAGGCAGCAGUGGGGAAUAUUGGACAAUGGGGGGAACCCUGAUCCAGCCAUGCCGCGUGUGUGAAGAAGGCCUUAUGGUUGUAAAGCACUUUAAGCGAGGAGGAGGCUACUUUAGUUAAUACCUAGAGAUAGUGGACGUUACUCGCAGAAUAAGCACCGGCUAACUCUGUGCCAGCCGCCGCCGUAA
RNAcentral lists this ribosomal RNA (500 nucleotides) under uncultured bacterium. RNAcentral's name for it is "partial 16S ribosomal RNA". It matches the Rfam family "Bacterial small subunit ribosomal RNA", at positions 30 to 523 of the family's 1533-position model. The record is from RNAcentral.